RNAcentral lists this ribosomal RNA (719 nucleotides) under uncultured Glomus. Its description in RNAcentral is "eukaryotic LSU rRNA". It matches the Rfam family "Eukaryotic large subunit ribosomal RNA", at positions 58 to 628 of the family's 3401-position model. The record is from RNAcentral. Lineage: Eukaryota; Fungi; Glomeromycota; Glomeromycetes; Glomerales; Glomeraceae.
AAAGAAAAUAACAAUGAUUCCCUUAGUAACUGCGAGUGAAGAGGGACAAGCUCAAAUUUUAAAUCUGUUAGGUUCACCUAACCGAGUUGUAAUUUGAAGAGGCGUUUUCUGCGUUUUUGAUCAGUCCAAGUCCUUUGGGAUAAGGCAUCAUGGAGGGUGAGAAUCCCGUUCGGUUGAUCAGAUUCGCUUUACGAUACGUCAUCUAAGAGUCAAGUUGUUUGGGAUUGCAGCUUAAAAUGGGAGGUAAAUUUCUCCUAAGGCUAAAUAACGGCGAGAGACCGAUAGCGAACAAGUACCGUGAGGGAAAGAUGAAAAGAACUUUGAAAAGAGAGUUAAACAGUACGUGAAAUUGUUGAAAGGGAAACGAUUGAAGCCAGUCGUACCUUCGGGUAAUCAGCCUUUCGAGUGCGAUUCUGUGGAGUGUGAGGAGUUAAACGCCUUCAUGCCUGCAUAUUCGUGCACUUUGGGUGUACUUGCCCGUGUGGUAGGUUAACAUCAAUUUCGGAUGUCAUAAAAUGGCUGGAGGAAUGUAGCUUCGGUCUCGUAUUGAAGUGUUAUAGCCUCUGGUAGAUGUGAUGACCGGGAUUGAGGAUUGCAACGAAUACCUUUUGGGCUAUCCGCCUGAUCUCUGAAAGUUGCUCUGGUGCCGAAAGCGUGCUUACGGUUAUCAAAGUUGACGUUCAAAAGGUUAGAACGGGUUAAAUUCGUUAAGGAUGUUG